Molecule: ribosomal RNA, 418 nt
Filed under: Toxoplasma gondii ARI
Lineage: Eukaryota; Apicomplexa; Conoidasida; Eucoccidiorida; Sarcocystidae
Description: partial large subunit ribosomal RNA
Rfam family: Bacterial large subunit ribosomal RNA
Source: RNAcentral
GGGGAGGUUUGGCACCUCGAUGUCGGCUCGUCGCAUCCUGAGGCUGUAGCAGGUCUCAAGGGUUGGUCUGUUCGCCCAUUAAAGCGGCACGUGAGCUGGGUUCAGAACGUCGUGAGACAGUUCGGUCCGUAUCCGAUGUAAACGUAAGAAUAUUGUAAAGUAUUUCCUUUAGUACGAGAGGACCAAGGAGAUUAAACCUAUAGUAGUUCAGUUAUUUUAUCAUAAGUAUUUUACUGAGUAGCUAAGUUUAAUAAAAAUAACUACUGAAAGCAUAUAAGUAGGAAAAAACUUUAAGAUUAAUAUUCUGUUCAUAAGAUUGAGUAAGAAUUUAAAAAGAACAUUUAUUAAAAAGAAAAAUUGUAUAAAAAUAGUAAUGUUUUUAGCAAAUUUUUGCUUUUAAUUCGAAGAUAAAUUUUUU